AGAAGUAGGUGGCAAUAUGAAGUCAAAUAAAUCGCUUGCUAUGAUUGUGGUAGCCAUCAUUAUUGUAGGUGUAUUAGCAUUUCAAUUUAUGAAUCAUACGGGUCCUUUCAAAAAGGGGACGAAUCAUGAAACUGUACAAGAUUUAAAUGGUAAAGAUAAAGUACAUGUUCAAAGAGUUGUGGAUGGUGAUACAUUUAUUGCAAAUCAAAAUGGUAAAGAAAUUAAAGUUAGGCUUAUAGGGGUUGAUACGCCAGAAACGGUGAAACCGAAUACGCCUGUACAACCAUUUGGCAAAGAAGCAUCAAAUUAUAGUAAGAAGACAUUAACAAAUCAAGAUGUUUAUUUAGAAUAUGAUAAAGAAAAACAAGAUCGCUAUGGUAGAACAUUGGCGUAUGUAUGGAUAAGUAAAGAUCGUAUGUACAAUAAGGAAUUAGUGGAAAAGGGACUUGCUAGAGAGAAGUAUUUUUCACCAAAUGGCAAAUAUAGAAAUGUAUUUAUAGAAGCACAAAAUAAAG
Molecule: small RNA, 515 nt
Filed under: Staphylococcus aureus
Lineage: Bacteria; Bacillati; Bacillota; Bacilli; Caryophanales; Staphylococcaceae
Description: Transcript
Source: RNAcentral